RNAcentral lists this ribosomal RNA (380 nucleotides) under uncultured eukaryote. Its description in RNAcentral is "partial 18S ribosomal RNA". It matches the Rfam family "Eukaryotic small subunit ribosomal RNA", at positions 592 to 976 of the family's 1831-position model. The record is from RNAcentral.
CAAUAGCGUAUAUUAAAGUUGUUGCAGUUAAAAAGCUCGUAGUUGGAUUUGUGGCGUACGGUGGGUUCCGGGCACUUGUUGUCUGAGUAACUUGCUGUUGCCAUCCUUGGGUGGAACCUGUGUGGCAUUAGGUUGUCGUGCAGGGGAUGCCCAUCAUUUACUGUGAAAAAAUUAGAGUGUUCAAAGCAGGCUUAUGUCGUUGAAUAUAUUAGCAUGGAAUAAUGAGAUAGGACUUUUUUGCUAUUUUGUUGGUUUGCGCAAAGAGGUAAUGAUUAAUAGGGACAGUUGGGGGUAUUCGUAUUCCAUUGUCAGAGGUGAAAUUCUUGGAUUUUUGGAAGACGAACUACUGCGAAAGCAUUUACCAAGGAUGUUUUCAUUAA